Bombus terrestris (buff-tailed bumblebee) is the source of this 1084-nucleotide long non-coding RNA. RefSeq lists it as uncharacterized. The record is from RefSeq and is a predicted model, not a curated record. The transcript is spliced from 2 exons. NCBI's taxonomy places the organism in Eukaryota, Metazoa, Arthropoda, Insecta, Hymenoptera, Apidae.
CACCACUUCCGGACGCCAUUGUCUGUCGCACGAUUCUCAGAAGCCUCGGUUGCAUUCUCUAAUUUAUAUUCCAGCAACAAUUUUUCCGAUUCAAGUACAAGAUGUUCAAUGUUUCUUGGUUAUGUCGCGUUUCCAGCAAACGGAUGACACGAAUUGCAGUAACGAGCAAAAUUUGGCUCGAUCGACAAAUCAGAUAAGAAUUCACACGAUCCUAGUCGACAACGUCAUCCCAUUACGCUUCCAUGGUAAACGAUGUUUGCGCAAGUACGAAUUUUGCAACUUGCUGCCUACGUGUUUUCUCCGGAUACCGACCGAUCUCUCGCUACGGUCUCGUCGCUUUGCGCAUUCCGUGACUCCCUGAGACGCUCCAACGCUAAUGUGGAAACCUCCAGGGUAUUUAAGUCUUACCAGAGAAUGUGGCUUGAGAGGAAAAGACAAGAAAAAAAGAAAGGAAGAAGAAAGAGAUCUUGUCGCUACACGGCGAAUGCAUUCAGUGUCGUGAAGUAUUAUUAUCGUUUGCGCUGCGAUAUUCUUGGUGGCAUUUCGCGGUAGAAUUUCGGGGGUUUUACCAACGAAAUUCAGGGGAAAUUAUGGUGGUGUUUCUAGUAUCCGUCGCUAGAGUGACUUUUGGCAGUUUUAUUCUAGUGAUUUGUUGCCUACCUAUUGAUUUGAUUGUUUCUUUUUCUCUCGUUGAUUUGACUGGCUGUUGUUUUCCUUUCUCUCUUCUAUUUCUUUACGUUACUUGUCCGGGAUUUAAAAGUGUUUGUUGUUGAACUAUGAACGAACGGACACAAUGGCGACGCUUCGGUGGAAAGGUUUUGAAAUACGCGUCACGCUGUUUUUCCCGUUACGGACGCGAACACUAUCGACCGAAUUCUUUCGUGAUGAUUGGCACGGAACAAUUAAAAGCUUACUGGACGUGUUUCAGUGCAAAGUGUUAUACGAUGUUUUACAAAAUAUCGCAAAUUAAAAGAAGACUACGAAAGAAAUUAGUUAAAUGGAGUGUUCACUAUAUUUAUAUAGUCCUUUGCUACCAUUUCAUUUAUUAAUAAAAGAAAAUAGACGAAAGAUCGUAGAAACAACA